UAGGGAAUAUUGCUUAAUGGGCGAAAGCCUGAAGCAGCAACGCCGCGUGAACGAAGAAGGCCUUCGGGUCGUAAAGUUCUUUUACGUGGGAUGAGGAAGGACAGUACCACGAGAAUAAUUCUCGGCUAACUACGUGCCAGCAGCCGCGGUAAAACGUAGGAGACGAGCGUUAUCCGGAUUUACUGGGCGUAAAGCGCGUGUAGGAGGCGCUACAAGUGGGAUGUGAAAGCUCCCGGCUUAACUGGGAGGGGUCGUUCAAGACUGUAGUGCUAGAGUGAGGCAGAGGUAGAUGGAACUACGGGAGUAGUGGUGAAAUGCGUAGAUAUCCGGAAGAACACCAGAGGCGAAAGCGACCUACUGGGCCUAAACUGACACUGAGACGCGAAAGC
This 389-nucleotide ribosomal RNA is filed under the name uncultured bacterium. RNAcentral's name for it is "bacterial SSU rRNA". It matches the Rfam family "Bacterial small subunit ribosomal RNA", at positions 355 to 760 of the family's 1533-position model. The record is from RNAcentral.